Molecule: long non-coding RNA, 759 nt
Organism: Papaver somniferum (opium poppy)
Lineage: Eukaryota; Viridiplantae; Streptophyta; Magnoliopsida; Ranunculales; Papaveraceae
Exons: 3
Source: RefSeq, a predicted model, not a curated record
UUUACACUUCAUCGAUCUAACCCUUUCUCUGGUGACCAAACUGUUAAAUGAAGAACGAAAAAACACAGUGGAGAAUCCGUAUGGAUUAUAAGCGGAUCAAUGGGUUUGCUUGGGAACCUGGUGGAACCACGAUGAUCAUCUUUCGAUAGCAUUAUGGUAUCUCCUCUCAAUAAAAGCAUAGCCGCUGCAACUAGGUGGUGUAUCAAGGCUUUAAACCGCUAGGUGAUCCAGACAGACGAGUGUUGUCUCGUGAGGGUCGACAUAUAGAUAUACCCACAAAACCUAUCAUCUUGGUGCAGUUUUAUUCAUCUUGGUCUCUAUCCUGCGGAGGGCAAUUUAAUAACGCCAUAAUCUGAUGCAUUGCCUUGGAUGUAUUCCAAAUAUCCACAAAGAGGUUGUUCCGGCGUUACAACGGUAAUUGAAUUGAAGCCGAAACAGAUUAGGUAUUUGCGAUGUAAAUAUGAAAACUGUCAUGAAGACGUACAGUUGCUAAACGAUGCAAUGAAGGCUAAAGAAGAUGAAAAUGUAGAUGAAUUGUGCAAAAACUUCAGACCAACAGAGAAAAUGAAGAUUGAUUAAUCAAAAAUGGGUUCAUGCUCAACUCCUAAUUGUAAGUUCCAUAUGAAACUGCACUGUUCUAAAGCAAAUAACACGUAUGAUAAUCUUUUUGGAAAUAUCAUGGGUGUGAAUUGGUGUAAUGUAAUGAUCAAGUGUUGUUAUGCUAUAGUUUAAUGAAGAGUUUGAAGGUGAUGUUUAUGA